UCCGGUUUGUCACCGGCAGUCUCCUUAGAGUGCCCAUCUUUACAUGUUGGCAACUAACGAUAAGGGUUGCGCUCGUUGCGGGACUUAACCCAACACCUCACGGCACGAGCUGACGACAGCCAUGCAGCACCUGUGCAGCAGUCCCGAAGGAAAGACCCAUUUCUGGAUCGGUCUACUGCAUGUCAAGCCUGGGUAAGGUUCUUCGCGUUGCAUCGAAUUAAACCACAUGCUCCACUGCUUGUGCGGGUCCCCGUCAAUUCUUUUGAGUUUCAGCCUUGCGACUGUACUCCUCAGGCGGUAUACUUAACGCGUUAGCUCCGGCACAACUGGGGUUGAGUCCAGUUACACCAAGUAUACAUCGUUUACGGCAAGGACUAC
Molecule: unclassified non-coding RNA, 378 nt
Filed under: uncultured Parachlamydiaceae bacterium
Lineage: Bacteria; Pseudomonadati; Chlamydiota; Chlamydiia; Parachlamydiales; Parachlamydiaceae
Description: contains 16S-23S intergenic spacer region
Source: RNAcentral